UCGACCUCAAAUCAGGUAGGACUACCCGCUGAACUUAAGCAUAUCAAUAAGCGGAGGAAAAGAAACUAACAAGGAUUCCCCUAGUAACUGCGAGUGAAGCGGGAAGAGCUCAAAUUUAAAAUCUGGCGUGCCUCUGGUCGCCCGAGUUGUAGUCUGGAGAAGCGUUUUCCGCGUUGGACCGUGUACAAGUCCCUUGGAAUAGGGCGUCGUA
RNAcentral lists this ribosomal RNA (211 nucleotides) under Phellodon tomentosus. RNAcentral describes it as "partial 28S ribosomal RNA". It matches the Rfam family "Eukaryotic large subunit ribosomal RNA", at positions 1 to 207 of the family's 3401-position model. The record is from RNAcentral. Lineage: Eukaryota; Fungi; Basidiomycota; Agaricomycetes; Thelephorales; Thelephoraceae.